RNAcentral lists this ribosomal RNA (175 nucleotides) under uncultured bacterium. RNAcentral describes it as "partial 16S ribosomal RNA". It matches the Rfam family "Bacterial small subunit ribosomal RNA", at positions 335 to 528 of the family's 1533-position model. The record is from RNAcentral.
ACUGUACGGGAGGCAGCAGUAGGGAAUCUUUCACAAUGGGCGAAAGCCUGAUGGAGCAAUGCCGCGUGCAGGACGAAGGCCUUCGGGUUGUAAACUGCUUUUAUAAGCGAGAAAUAUGAUGGUAACUUAUGAAUAAGGAUCGGCUAACUACGUGCCAGCAGCCGCGGUAAUCAGU